AGAAUCAACGCUGGCGGCGUGCCUAACACAUGCAAGUCGCACGAGAAAGGGGAGCAAUUCCUGAGUAAAGUGGCGCACGGGUGAGUAACACGUGAAUAAUCUACCUCCGAGUGGGGAAUAACUGAGAGAAAUCUUAGCUAAUACCGCAUAACACUUACGAGUCAAAGCAGCAAUGCGCUUGGAGAGGAGUUCGCGGCCGAUUAGUUAGUUGGCGGGGUAAUGGCCCACCAAGACGAUGAU
This 240-nucleotide ribosomal RNA is filed under the name uncultured bacterium. RNAcentral describes it as "partial small subunit ribosomal RNA". It matches the Rfam family "Bacterial small subunit ribosomal RNA", at positions 26 to 280 of the family's 1533-position model. The record is from RNAcentral.